UACCCAGUAACUCCUAUCCCUACCUCCUCGUGGUACUGACCGGGGUACGAGUAACCUCAGGGAAGAUUGAGUAGCCAAACCCUGGUGGGAACUCUGGUCGUAUGCUAACAGGGAAGG
RNAcentral lists this ribozyme (117 nucleotides) under Aedes aegypti (yellow fever mosquito). RNAcentral's name for it is "drz-agam-1 ribozyme". It matches the Rfam family "drz-agam-1 ribozyme". The record is from Rfam by way of RNAcentral. Lineage: Eukaryota; Metazoa; Arthropoda; Insecta; Diptera; Culicidae.